RNAcentral lists this ribosomal RNA (440 nucleotides) under uncultured bacterium. Its description in RNAcentral is "bacterial SSU rRNA". It matches the Rfam family "Bacterial small subunit ribosomal RNA", at positions 340 to 773 of the family's 1533-position model. The record is from RNAcentral.
UACGGGAGGCAGCAGUGGGGAAUAUUGCACAAUGGGCGCAAGCCUGAUGCAGCCAUGCCGCGUGUAUGAAGAAGGCCUUCGGGUUGUAAAGUACUUUCAGUCGUGAGGAAGGUGUUAAGGUUAAUAACCUUAGCAAUUGACGUUAGCGACAGAAGAAGCACCGGCUAACUCCGUGCCAGCAGCCGCGGUAAUACGGAGGGUGCGAGCGUUAAUCGGAAUUACUGGGCGUUAAAGGGCACGCAGGCGGUUAAUUAAGUUGGAUGUGAAAUCCCCGGGCUUAACCUGGGAAUGGCAUUCAAGACUGGUUAGCUAGAGUCUUGUAGAGGGGGUAGAAUUCCAUGUGUAGCGGUGAAAUGCGUAGAGAUGUGGAGGAAUACCGGUGGCGAAGGCGGCCCCUGGACAAAGACUGACGCUCAUGUGCGAAAGCGUGGGGAGCAAAC